UGCUCCGCGGCUAUAAAAGCCCGGACUUCGUGCUGCUGCGCCGCUCUGGAUGUCGCGCAGCGGCUGUGCUGCGAGUGGGUCUAUGGCUGCAUCACCCUUCUGGGAGAUGCUGGUGCUGCUGGCCCAGGAGCCGGGCAUGGAGUGGUUGAAACUGGGCCUCGCCGAGGGGGCGGCAUCGCGGUGCAGCCAAGAAACGGGGCAGGCGGCCUUGGGGCGGCCCAGCGGCUCCGGGCGGUGCGGGGAGUGCGGCGUGGCAGCAGGAGGACAGGCUGGUUCUCGUCAGAAACACUUGCUGGGCCCUCAGCCUCUGAAGACGUUGAUGCUGUUGGAGUGCUCGGGGGAUGUUAGGCUUUGGCAAGCCUACUUGGAGGGGCUGAAGAAAUUCCUUGCCUUUAGGAAGAAGAUGGGAAUGCCUGCAGCUUGGCCCAUCCCAGAGGAUCAAGUUAGAGGAUUUUUAGCUGUGGAGUCUCUUUACUCAUCCUCAAAAACGCUGAUGUAUGUGGCAGCAUUAUCUUACUUAGCAAGGCUGUCUGGUAACGCUGACCCUUUGGAGGAUGCUAUAACCCGCUGUAUGGUAAUGGGCUUGAGACGUCAAGCAGGCAUCCUGAGGGAAAGAUAUGCUCCUAUAACAAUUGAGAUGCUACGAUCUCUCUUAGGAGCUCUGGAAUCUGUGUGUGUAUCCCAUUAUGAAUGCUUACUGUUCCGUGCAUUGUUCACCGUGGCUUUUUUUGGUGCACUUCGAAUAGGAGAGAUGGUAGCAAAGCACCAUAAUGUACUGCAGCCUGAACUGCUGUACCUGAGGGACGUGCAGGUGAUGGAAAGCAGGGUGGCGUUUCGCCUGCGUAACUAUCCUGUCGACCAGGAGAGACCCAUCAUCAGCCUUGCUCUGUCUGGAGAGCCAUGGGUGUGCCCUGUCCUGGCCCUCCGGAGCUAUGUGGCUGUGCGGUCAGGGCUGGAAGGGCCGCUCUUUGUGCACAGAGACAACGUACCUGUAACAAAGAGGAAGUUUCUGACUGUUCUCAGAUGGGCCCUUAGGCUGCUGGGGCUGCCCCUGGAGCAGUACGGUGUGCACUCCUUCUGGCUGGGGACUAUCAUCACUGCCGCACGCUGUGGAUAUCCAAGGGAAGAUGUCACUCGCCUGGCAAGGUGGCCAUGUGUGUUCCCAGGGAAGUCAUAGCCAUGGAGACAGUGGGCAAAAGAAGCGAGUGGUUUCUUUCUGUAGGAGUUCUAACAACAUAGCUUAUAGUCCUUGGCAGUAAUUUAAUGUUACCAUCUGUAAUGAAUGUUCUGCCUCACUGUGGACAUGGCCUAUGAAGUUCACUUGCAUUUGUUUUAAUUGUCUGUACUGUUGGGUGGGGGACUGUCAAACUUGCUGUGCCCACAGAUGCUUUUAUUGUGUAUAACUUCA
RNAcentral lists this long non-coding RNA (1408 nucleotides) under Coturnix japonica (Japanese quail). RNAcentral describes it as "lncRNA (ENSCJPG00005017128.1)". Lineage: Eukaryota; Metazoa; Chordata; Aves; Galliformes; Phasianidae. The record is from RNAcentral.